This is a non-coding RNA of Chelonoidis abingdonii (Abingdon island giant tortoise), 1263 nucleotides long. The record is from RefSeq and is a predicted model, not a curated record. NCBI's taxonomy places the organism in Eukaryota, Metazoa, Chordata, Testudines, Testudinidae.
UGGAAAUGCCUGUAGUAAUCCUGGGAGACCCUGUUUACCCCUUACAGCCCUGGCUCAUGAAACCUUACACAAAGGCACCUGGACAACAGCAAGGAGUGUUUUAACAGGCUGAGCAGGUGCCACAUGAUAGUCGAAUGUGCCUUUGGCCACUUGUAAGCUUGCUGGAGGUGUUUAAAUGACAGGCUAGACCUUACCAAGGAUAAUAUUCCUGUGGUCAUAGCCGUGUGCUGCACUUUGCAUAAUCUGUGUGAAUCUAAGGAUGAAAUGUUUGCUCAGGUGUGGAGCACUGAGGCAGAGUGCUUGGCUGCACAGUUUGAACAGCCAGAUGCUAGGGCUGUCAGAGGAGCCCAGAGGGCUGCUAUUAACAUCAGAGAGGCUUUGAGAAACCACUUUGACAAUGCAGGGCAGUAACACGGCCACUUUGGAGUUGUUUCCCUGUUGCAUCCAUGUACAAUUUUGGAGCCCAAGAUACACGCAACACAAUGAUUUAGGAUCCUGUUCCCUAGAGUGAAUUGAUUGCUAUACCCUUUUGUAGAACACAGAAUAAAAAUGUUGUACCAUUAAAUACCUUAGCCUUCAUUUAUUGUUAAAAAAGAUAAGGCUUCACAAUUGUGUGUAGCUCCAGCUAUCAUGCAAGCUGUGAGAGGGGGUAGAGUGAUGGGGAAAUUCAGAACUGCUGUGAAGUGAAAAGGAACGUGUGGGCACAGAGGGGGGUGGAGUUGGCAAAGAACAGUGCAUCUGCUGCAGUGGCACUCGAACUCGGAUCUGCUCAGUCUGCAGCUGUAUCAGAGACUUGAGCAUCUCUGCCUGAUCCUCCAUAACUUUUAUCAUCUGCUCUGUUGCAUGCCUAGCAAAAGCAGCAUUCACUUUUCUGUUGUGCCUUUUGGCUUCCCAGAAAUCUUUCCAUUCCCUGGUCUGUCUCUCAUCGCACUGCAUAACCUCGCAGACCAUGUCUUCUUUGCCGCGCCUAGGGUUUUUUCUUAUCUGUCACAGCCAGUCCAUGCGGGUGCAUGGUGUAUUCUUCAAGGUCUGUCGUCAUCUGCUUUCUGCCCCCCGUUGAGCAUUUCUGGAGUGGAGAAAAGUUCCUGGCUGCCUGCCCCACUGGGUGACCCCACUGGGAGCACCACAUCCUCUUCUAGCCCAACUUCUUCAUCCCCAAUUUCAGCCUCUGAGUUACCCCCUCUUUCAGCUGCAUGCGAAGUAUCCAUGGGGCAAUCAGCAAUGGAGGUGGGGUCACCACUGAGGAUAGCAUUCAGCUCCUUA